RNAcentral lists this ribosomal RNA (497 nucleotides) under uncultured bacterium. Its description in RNAcentral is "partial 16S ribosomal RNA". It matches the Rfam family "Bacterial small subunit ribosomal RNA", at positions 28 to 507 of the family's 1533-position model. The record is from RNAcentral.
GAUGAACGCUGGCGGCGUGCCUAAUACAUGCAAGUCGAGCGAACAGACGAGGAGCUUGCUCCUCUGACGUUAGCGGCGGACGGGUGAGUAACACGUGGAUAACCUACCUAUAAGACUUGGAUAACGUCGGGAAACCGGAGCUAAUACCGGAUAAUAUAUUGAACCGCAUGGUUCGAUAGUGAAUGACGGUUUUGCUGUCACUGAGAGAUGUAUCCGCGCCGCAUUAGUUAGUUGGUAAGGUAACGGCUUACCAAGGCGACGAUGGGUAGCCGACCUGGGAGGGUGAUGGGCCCCACUGGAACUGAGACACGGUCCAGACUCCUAGGGGAGGCAGCAGUAGGGACUCUUCCGCAAUGGGCGAAAGCCUGACGGAGCGACGCCGCGUGAGUGAUGAAGGUCUUCGGAUCGUAAAACUCUGUUAUGAGGGAAGACCACAUGUGUAAGUAACUAUGCACGUCUUGACGGUACCUAAUCAGAAAGCCCCGGCUAACUACGUG